RNAcentral lists this long non-coding RNA (517 nucleotides) under Mus pahari (shrew mouse). Its description in RNAcentral is "predicted gene 14964 (MGP_PahariEiJ_G0002236.1)". The record is from RNAcentral. Lineage: Eukaryota; Metazoa; Chordata; Mammalia; Rodentia; Muridae.
CGGCCGCCGCGGCUCGAAGGCCGUGGGGACCCCAGGCCCCAGGGGAAAAGAAAGAGAAGAGAGAAGAGAGGGCGUCAGCGAGGGCCGGGGCGCGGGCGGCCGGCACAGAGAGAGAAACAACAGCCUCACACCCAAAUCGGUUCAAUUGGCUUUGGCGGAGACUAUGCGGGCCGGGCCCGCCCGCCAGCCGGCCAGCGCCUGCGCUUUAAGCGGGCUGCGGCUCGGAUGCCCUGGGCACCCCACGCGCGGGCUCUGUGACUCUGCAUUUUGGUCUUUUUGUUUCGUCUUAAGAAACCAAACGGAACAGAAAGGAAAGGAAAUUGAAAAGAAACGGAAUUUUUUUUUCUACUGGUUUAAGGCUUUAAAAACAUACAACAGCAGCAUUUAAACAAACCUAACAACAAUAUCUUUUAGGGUUUUUUUUUUAUAUAUUUCUUUUUGCUUUUUUUUUUUUUUUGCUUUUGUUUUUAAAAAAGAAGAUAGCAUACCACGGAAUUCAGGCAACUUACAUCAACAA